CCUCUUGAUGAUGAGGAGCUUGUGUCUUACAUCUUCGCCGGCCUCGACUUCGACUACAACUCGGUGGUGUCUUCCAUCGCUGGGCGAGCCGACUCCAUCACCAUGAGCGAGGCCUAUGCAAUGCUAGUUGGCUUUGAAA
This is a non-coding RNA of Oryza barthii, 139 nucleotides long. The record is from Rfam. NCBI's taxonomy places the organism in Eukaryota, Viridiplantae, Streptophyta, Magnoliopsida, Poales, Poaceae.